CGGAGGCUACCGCUAUUGGAGUUCGAUUAAGCCAUGCGAGUCGAGAGUCUUAGGGACUCGGCGUACCGCUCAGUAACACGUGGGUAACCUGCCCUAUGCUGGGGAAUAACCUCGGGAAAMUGAGAAUAAUGCCCCAUAGUCCACAAUGCCUGGAACGGUUUGUGGAUCAAAGCUCCGSCGGCAUAGGAUGGGCCUGCGGCGUAUCAGGUUGUAGGGGGUGUAACGUACCCUCUAGCCAUCAACGCGUACGGGUGUUGGGAGACAUAGCCCGGAGAUGGAUUCUGAGACACGAAUCCAGACCCUACGGGGUGCAGCAGGCGCGAAAACUUUGGCAAUGCGAGAAAUCGUGACCAGGGAACUCCAAGUGGCUGGGGUAAGACCCAGUCUUUUCUUGACUCUUCAAAGGUCUUGGAAUAAGGGGUGGGUAAGGACGGUGCCAGCCGCCGCGGUAAUACCGGCGCCUCAAGUGGUAGUCGAUUUUAUUGGGCCUAAAACGUCCGUAGCCUGUUUGGUACAUUCGUGGGUAAAUCAACCAGCUCAACUGGUUGAAUUCUGCGAGCACGGCCAGACUUGGGACCGGGAGAGGUGUGGGGUACGCUCAGGGUAGGGGUAAAAUCCUGUCAUCCUGAGCGGACCACCUGUUGCGAAGGCGCCACACUAGAACGGAUCCGACGGUCAGGGACGAAGCCUAGGGGCACGAACCGGAUUAGAUACCCGGGUAGUCCUAGGUGUAAACGCUGUGGACUUGGUGUUGGGGACUCUCCGGGAAUCCUCAGUGCCGAAGCGAAGGUGAUAAGUCCACUGCCUGGGGAGUACGGUCGCAAGGCUGAAACUUAAAGGAAUUGGCGGGG
RNAcentral lists this ribosomal RNA (851 nucleotides) under uncultured archaeon. RNAcentral describes it as "bacterial SSU rRNA". It matches the Rfam family "Archaeal small subunit ribosomal RNA", at positions 18 to 873 of the family's 1478-position model. The record is from RNAcentral.